AGGAUUUUUUGGCUACAAAACUGCGAUCUUCAUCGAGAACCUCGGUCCGGACUUUAGGAACGACGAGACAUUUUUUUCUGUCUUUGCCAUCUUCUUCCCAGCAGCCACUGGGAUUUUGGCCGGAGCUAAUAUCUCCGGAGACCUUGCGGACCCUCAGUCUG
Cynoglossus semilaevis (tongue sole) is the source of this 161-nucleotide long non-coding RNA. RefSeq lists it as uncharacterized. NCBI's taxonomy places the organism in Eukaryota, Metazoa, Chordata, Actinopteri, Pleuronectiformes, Cynoglossidae. The record is from RefSeq and is a predicted model, not a curated record. The transcript is spliced from 3 exons.